This 4210-nucleotide long non-coding RNA is filed under the name Gallus gallus (chicken). RNAcentral's name for it is "lncRNA (ENSGALG00010003564.1)". Lineage: Eukaryota; Metazoa; Chordata; Aves; Galliformes; Phasianidae. The record is from RNAcentral.
GGGGGUCCGGGCAGCCUCCACCCAGCAGCUGCUGUCGUUUGCUGGGGUCGUGCUGCUGUGCAGCCAUGGCAUCUAUGGGAAAACUGAGUUUUUCUCUCGUCGUUUUGCUCAGGGAGGAGAGAGGUGGUGCAGGGGAGCAUUUCAGAGUCUUCUUCAUCACCGUUGCCCAAAAUGCUGACAGUGGCGCCAAGUGAACACAGCACGGCUGGUGGGGCAGGAGGGAGCUGAGCCCCCCAUCUGCUCCUCCAUCCCUGUGGGGUUCCUAAGGGUGUUCCCAGGGGGUUCUGUGCAGGAGGUAAGCAUGGGAGGAGGAAGGGGGGAGAAACAGACCCACAGAGAAGGUCCUUUCCGGGGCCAUUCAGGUGAAAUAAAUGAUUGCAGUGCCACAGACUGAAUUGUACUGCCCUGACCAGGAAGGCAGCAGCCCAAAAAUGUCUUCAAGCCUUACGAGAUGUUGAGUCCUAUACAUUACAUUAUGUCCUAUACGUGACACUGUUUCCUACAGGUGACACUGUGUCCUGUAUGUCCCAUUGUGUCCUACACUCAGCAUUGUGUGCUGUAUGUGACAGUUGUGCCCUGCAUGUCACAUUGCAUCUUACAGGUGCCGUUGUGCCUUGUAGGUCGUACUGUGUCCUGUAUGUCACACUGUGUCCUGUAUGUCACGCUGUGUCCUGUAUGUCACACGUGUCCUACAAGUGCCCGUUCAGCAGGGAAUUCCUUCUGGGGAGUUCUAUGGAGGAGGCUCUGCCAGAGCAGGGCCCAAACUCACAGCUGUGGGCUCAGGAGAGCAGAAAGUGGCUGCAAGGCCACUGCCCAAGGCUGGACAGUGGGUGUUCCCCAUCUCCAGGCAAGAAGGGAGCUGGGAAGGACCCCCAUCCCCCAAAAAUGCAGCACUCAGUGGGAACCACGAGAGCUGUGUCCCAAACUGUGCAGCCCCGGGCACUCACUAGUGGAAGGUGCCUGUGAGCAAGGAAGGUUCCCGUGGGGCCAGGAAGGUGCAGUGCUGUGCUCAGAGCUGGGCCUUCCUCCUCCUGUUUGCAGCAUGGAACCGCUGGGUGAGGAAUGCACUUUCUGUAUAGGUUAUGUUCCCCUCAGUGCAUGUGAAGCAAUGAAUGCUGACGGUGGACCAGGGAUGGGCCUGAAGUCCAUCACAAAUUUUACUCAGCUCAUAGAAUCAUUGAGGUCAGAAAAGACCUUCCAGAUCACCAAGCCCAGCCAUUAACCUGACCUACCAAGUCCCACCACUCAGCCCUCAUGCCCUUUUAAAUACCCCCAGGGAUGGGGACUCCACCACAGCCAUGGGCAUUCCUCUCUUCACCACCCUCUCCAUGAAGGAAUUCUUCUUCAUGCCCAAUCUAAACCUUCCCUGGCACAACCUGGGACCACUGCACAACAUGAGGCCAUUCUGCAACGUCGAAUCAUAGAAUGGUUUGGGUUGGAAGGGGCCUCAGGAUCAUCAGGUUCCAACUCUCCUGCCACAGGCAUGGCCACCAGCCUCCAGAGGACUGUUGUACAGCAUGAGACCAGCACACAACAUGACAACAUGGCACAACAUUUGACCACUGCACUACGUGGGACCAUUGCACAGCAUGAGGUCACUCCACAACCUGAGACCACUGCACUACGUGACACCAUUGCACAGGGUGAGACUAUUGUACCACCUGGGAUCACUGCACUACAUGCGACCGUUGCACAUCCUGAGACCACUGCCCUAAGUGAGAGCACUGCACAGCCUGAGACCACUGCACCACGUGACACCGUUGCACGAAGUGGGACCAUUGUGCAACCUGGGACUGCUGCACAACACGACACCAUUGCACAGCAUGGGACCACUGCACAGCCUGAGAACAUUGCAUGAGGUGUCUGCAGGCUCAAAGAGCAGCGAGAAGCGUUCAGAGGAAAGCGAUCCCGUGCCACCUUCCCCGUGCCCGGGCUGUCCCCGCACGCUGCGGGCUCCGGCUCGGGGAUGCGGGGGGAGCGUCGGGCCGGAGCGGAGCCCCGGGCGGCUCGCUGCUGCCCCCUAGCGGGAGAGGGACGCAAUUACAGCCCCGGGGGCUUUGGGGGGGGGCUCUCCCCAUGAGCUCCCGCGGACGCCCCCUUCCAGGACCUUCCAGGAAAGCCUGCUUCUUUUCUUCAACCUUUCGGCACUUUCUUCCUUUUCCUGAGGCUCUAAGUAAGGUCUCCGGGAGAGGGCACUCGGCCGAGUGGUUUCCUGGAGGCGUUUUGCAGAGGAGGUGCAGCGGAGCCGCCGUGGAUUGAAGGAUGCUGAGCACAGAGCCGUCCCCAGCCCAUAGCACAGCCGCUGGGCUUCAGGCUGUGUGUGCGCCUUCAUGAUUUCACUUUGGGGCUGAGGAACGUGAAGCCUGCACCCGAUUCUCAGGCCUGAGCUGCAGGGACAGCUGUGGGACAGGAGAGGGAAUGCCUGAAAUCACACAACUGUAGGGAUUGGAAGGGACCUCUAAUGAUCAUUGAGUCCAACCCCCCAGAUGUUGAGCAGUGCCAUAGCCAGCCCUGUUCCCUGCAGGCAGCUGUCCUGCUUUCAGCUGGGAUAGAAUUCAUGCUCUUCCUGGCUGCUGCAAUGGAGCUCCUUAGGAUUUAGGAUGGGAAUAAUGCUGAUAACACAGACAUGUUUGGUCUAUCACAGAGCAGUGCUUACACAAGCCAAGGAUGUUUCAGCUUCUCACACUGCCCUGCCAGCACCAUGCUGGGAGGAAAGAGCCCUCACCCCAGCAGGGAGCUCUGUGUGCCGAUGGCUCAGCGCACGCUGGGGUAUCCAGGCCAGCUUUGGGACAGGUAAUUCCAGCUUCACCAGUACAACACUGGUUUUCAGGCAUCAGAAACAACUGUUAGACAAACAUCUCCGUGGGGUGAAUGAGGCAUGAGAGCCUCGUUUGAUUAAAAUGAUGUGUUCCUACACCAGGUUCAGCCCAGCCAGGUGCUAAGUGCUGCAGUACCUGUGCUGGGUGGGCUCAUGCUAACAGCUGGCAACAAGGAAUUCCUGCAAACACCCCAUUUUCUGGAGCUUGAAAACCUAAGUUUAAAAUGUUUAUUCCCAACUCCAAGAAAGGGAAAAGAAAAUAUAUAAGUUAAGGCAAUCUGUCUGCUUUCACUUCAGCCACUAAAUCCAGAUUUAUGGCUUAAUUUAAGGUACCCAGCUUUUUAUCCUUUUAUUAGCUCCCAUUCCCCCACAGCCUCCCUCUCCUCACCCACCUGUUUCCCAUUCCCGCUCUCUGUUAAUAUUGGAUUUCCUUUUUAUGUCCCCAAAGAGAGCCCUCGCAGAGCACAGUGCAGCAGUGAGUGCGCAGAGCAGGAACUGCAGUGCAUGCCUGUUGCUCUGCUAAUCACCCCGUGCUCAAAGCAGCGUUCGGAUGCCCACGCAGGCAAAGGAAGGCAGUGAGCACAGCAGAUCCUGUGCCGUCUCUGUAGGUUUGGCUGGAGGACAUCAGUGCCGCCCAUCUCUGUGCCUUCACCAUCCCGUCCCAUCCUGCUCCCCCCAUCGCUGCUCCCAGUGGUGUUGUGUCAGGCUGAAAUCUCCCCGGUCAGCUCACACUGAAGGAGUUUUUGGGGAGCCCAAAUCCCCUCCCUGUGGUCAUGUUUUUCAUCACAUCUGUCCAGCAGCACAGAGCUGAGCUCUGCAUGCAAGCCCCAUGGGCUGUAAAGGACCACAAUGCUCAUCCAGUUCCAGCCCCCCUGCUGUGUGCAGGGUCACCGACCACCAGACCAGGCACAUUGCAAUGGGGCAGCACUGCACUCUGCUGCAGUGUAAAUGCCCCAUUGCACAGUGGGGCAGUCCUCGGGCACUGGCUUGAGCAAAUGCUGAGGAUGCUGAGCAGCUCUGUGCUGCUGCACUGCUCUCCCAUCUCCCGGUGCUCUGCCUCAGACCUUUCCUUCUGAAUUUUGCUUUAAAGCUCGGCAGCAGCUCUGCCUCCCAGCACAGCCACUCCCUGAGCUCCACACGGAGCUCCUCUUCCACACUGCUUUGUUCUGCACGGCCCCUUGGAUCAGCCAUCAAACACUGUGCUGCCCUGGGUGCUGCGCCCCGCAGGGACCACAGCCUGCCAUCAUGCGAAGUGUGGAAUGGAAGAGAGCUGAGGGAGGCACAGAAGGAAGCAGUGUGCUGCACGAAAUCAGCAUCACUCAGCCCAAACCUCUCACCUGCCUCGUGUCUUCUGGGUGCGACAGAACGAAAACACAAUAAAUAAUAGCAAUG